CGGACGGGUGAGUAUCGCGUAGGGAUUUAUCGUUGGGUGGGGGAUAACCUUGGGAAACUGGGGCUAAUACCGCAUGACGCCUUUGGGCCAAAGUUUGUGAGAGCGCCUGACGAGGAGCCUGCGUCCGAUUAGCUAGUUGGUUGGGUAAUGGCUGACCAAGGCGUCGAUCGGUAGCUGGUCUGAGAGGAUGAUCAGCCACACUGGGACUGAGACACGGCCCAGACUCCUACGGGAGGCAGCAGUGGGGAAUAUUGGACAAUGGGCGCAAGCCUGAUCCAGCAAUGCCGCGUGGAUGAAGAAGGUUUUCGGAUUGUAAAGUCCUUUCGGCGGGGACGAUGAUGACGGUACCCGCAGAAGAAGCCCCGGCUAACUUCGUG
RNAcentral lists this ribosomal RNA (377 nucleotides) under uncultured bacterium. RNAcentral describes it as "bacterial SSU rRNA". It matches the Rfam family "Bacterial small subunit ribosomal RNA", at positions 99 to 507 of the family's 1533-position model. The record is from RNAcentral.